This is a long non-coding RNA of Triticum dicoccoides, 1488 nucleotides long. RefSeq lists it as uncharacterized. The transcript has 5 exons. Lineage: Eukaryota; Viridiplantae; Streptophyta; Magnoliopsida; Poales; Poaceae. The record is from RefSeq and is a predicted model, not a curated record.
CGUCCUUCUUUCCUCUCCUCGGAUGGAUUCCUAGGGUUGCCGCCGCCUCGCCUCUCCCCCGCGCUCAUGCCUCUCCUUCUCCCGCCCCGGGCACCACCUCCUCCGGGCCCCUGCCUACACUCCGCCCCUUCCUCUUCUUGUUGUGGCAGACAUCGCUGCUGAGCAUGCCUGCGUCGCCGCUGCUGCGGAGGGCUCCUCGACUCCGCUGCAUCCGAGGAGGGUGCCCUAUGGAGGGCCCUAAAUGUAGUAGGCGACUCCAUCCCAUGUCGCGUACGGCGGAGGCCAGGCCAAAUCCGCCUCCUCCAGACCAUCCACUUCGUCACACAAAACGAAAAAGGUUGGCCCUAGUUCGAGCUCCGCCACCCCAUCCCAGGUCGUUGUUCAUCAGUGGCAGGCCAUGCUCCGCCUCCUCAACACCCACUGUGUCUGCGACCGGACCUUGACGGCGUUUGCCCUGGACAGGACCUCAACGGCGACCUCUAGAUAUUAAAAAGGAUCGACCGGAUAAUGCCCUUGCAAUCACUGAUUUCGCUAUCAAGUCUACAAUCCAGUGUUGAUGUGUCAACACGGGAAGCAACGGCCAGCAGAGCGAUUCGGACGAGAUGCUUGCUACUAGUUUCCUCGCCAUGCCGCGACCAGAGCCUCCGCCGGUCAGUACUGUUGCUGUCUUCUUCGACAACGGCAAGAUCCGUAGCACAUGCGAGUGGAAGACUGCGCUGCCAGUUUAGGUGUUGUUUCUCCAGGUAAUAUGAUUCUCCGUCAUGUUUUCCCAAGCACUAACAAAUUCCAUCAUUUGUUUGGCUUGCAUGUGAACAGGUCGAUGGGAAUUUUCUGGCUGUGGCUCUAAGCUGAAUCAGCACUUGAUCAACCUCAAGCCAUUGUGAUGGCUCCACUAGUAGGCACAAGAUGGAAACUACCGGUUUGAGAAGGGGCUAGCCGAAAUGAACAAGUGUCAUCUACAACAAUAGCCGCUUUUGUAAAGGAUGGAAGUACACUUUAGAGGAUUGCGCACCUAUGAAGCGGUUAUUGAUGAAGUCAUGGACAAGGGACUUGCCAAUGCUACACAGUCAUGAAAUCCUUAUUGUCUUCCUUCUUCCAUACAUGAUAUACAACGCUAUCAUUAGUCCAAGUUAAAGCAGUUCUUGUGAUGCUUGAUACUGUUGGCAGGAGUGCUGACGGCAACCACAGGAGGGGGUCGGGGUGAUCGAAGAGUAAGGCGUGGGUGACUCCGGCGAGAUGUUUCUAGAGCGGAUGCCAAUGAUGCGGCAAUGAGAAGACCCUCACUAGUGCAGGCAUGGAAGGGGUGGUAAGCCAAGAGAUAGUCGUGACUCAAAAAAUUGUUGAGUGUGUGGAUGGGGUAGCUCAAAUAUAGAUUCUGAAAAGAGGAAAAGGCGCUAAAGUUGUCCUGGAAGCAAUUAUUUUUCAUACAUGUUUUCAUACUGAUAAGGAACUACUCAAAAGAUAAGUUUCAAGGAACUAAUCAACAAA